AGUAAUGUCUGGGAAACUGCCUGAUGGAGGGGGAUAACUACUGGAAACGGUAGCUAAUACCGCAUAACGUCGCAAGACCAAAGAGGGGGACCUUCGGGCCUCUUGCCAUCAGAUGUGCCCAGAUGGGAUUAGCUAGUAGGUGGGGUAACGGCUCACCUAGGCGACGAUCCCUAGCUGGUCUGAGAGGAUGACCAGCCACACUGGAACUGAGACACGGUCCAGACUCCUACGGGAGGCAGCAGUGGGGAAUAUUGCACAAUGGGCGCAAGCCUGAUGCAGCCAUGCCGCGUGUAUGAAGAAGGCCUUCGGGUUGUAAAGUACUUUCAGCGGGGAGGAAGGUGUUGUGGUUAAUAACCGCAGCAAUUGACGUUACCCGCAGAAGAAGCACCGGCUAACUCCGUGCCAGCAGCCGCGGUAAUACGGAGGGUGCAAGCGUUAAUCGGAAUUACUGGGCGUAAAGCGCACGCAGGCGGUCUGUCAAGUCGGAUGUGAAAUCCCCG
RNAcentral lists this ribosomal RNA (500 nucleotides) under Pantoea agglomerans. Its description in RNAcentral is "bacterial SSU rRNA". It matches the Rfam family "Bacterial small subunit ribosomal RNA", at positions 109 to 605 of the family's 1533-position model. Lineage: Bacteria; Pseudomonadati; Pseudomonadota; Gammaproteobacteria; Enterobacterales; Erwiniaceae. The record is from RNAcentral.